UGCUUUGGUAGCUAAUACGGUUGGAU
This 26-nucleotide non-coding RNA is filed under the name Homo sapiens (human). Lineage: Eukaryota; Metazoa; Chordata; Mammalia; Primates; Hominidae. The record is from RNAcentral.